AUUGAACGCUGGCGGCAUGCCUUACACAUGCAAGUCGAACGGCAGCAUGAUCUAGCUUGCUAGAUUGAUGGCGAGUGGCGAACGGGUGAGUAAUACAUCGGAACGUGCCCUGUAGUGGGGGAUAACUAGUCGAAAGAUUAGCUAAUACCGCAUACGACCUGAGGGUGAAAGUGGGGGACCGCAAGGCCUCAUGCUAUAGGAGCGGCCGAUGUCUGAUUAGCUAGUUGGUGGGGUAAAGGCCCACCAAGGCGACGAUCAGUAGCUGGUCUGAGAGGACGAUCAGCCACACUGGGACUGAGACACGGCCCAGACUCCUACGGGAGGCAGCAGUGGGGAAUUUUGGACAAUGGGGGCAACCCUGAUCCAGCAAUGCCGCGUGUGUGAAGGAGGCCUUCGGGUUGUAAAGCACUUUUGUCCGGAAAGAAAUCGCACUUACUAAUAUUAGGUGUGGAUGACGGUACCGGAAGAAUAAGGACCGGCUAACUACGUGCCAGCCGCCGUGGUAA
RNAcentral lists this ribosomal RNA (506 nucleotides) under uncultured bacterium. RNAcentral describes it as "partial 16S ribosomal RNA". It matches the Rfam family "Bacterial small subunit ribosomal RNA", at positions 30 to 523 of the family's 1533-position model. The record is from RNAcentral.